UACGUAGGGUGCGAGCGUUAAUCGGAAUUACUGGGCGUAAAGCGUGUGUAGGCGGUCUCGUAAGUCGGAUGUGAAAGCCCUGGGCUUAACUUGGGAAUUGCGCUCGAAACUACGUGGCUCGAGUAUGGCAGAGGAAGGUGGAAUUCCACGUGUAGCGGUGAAAUGCGUAGAGAUGUGGAGGAACACCGAUGGCGAAGGCAGCCUUCUGGGCCAAUACUGACGCUCAUGCACGAAAGCGUGGGGAGCAAACAGG
Molecule: ribosomal RNA, 253 nt
Filed under: uncultured bacterium
Lineage: Bacteria
Description: partial 16S ribosomal RNA
Rfam family: Bacterial small subunit ribosomal RNA
Source: RNAcentral